Labrus bergylta (ballan wrasse) is the source of this 246-nucleotide non-coding RNA. The record is from RefSeq and is a predicted model, not a curated record. NCBI's taxonomy places the organism in Eukaryota, Metazoa, Chordata, Actinopteri, Labriformes, Labridae.
CUCUAACCCUGUGGUGUGUUUGUAACAGUGAAACAGAACACACACGUUGUGGCAUCCAGAACAACAGAGGCUCUAUCAUGUUCAUCUUUAUGAUUCUGGGUCUGCUGGCUGGCAUCCAGGCACAAGAGAUAUCUGGGGUUGGUUUCUCUAUCUACAGGCUGAAGAUAUACGUGGUCUCGAUCGGUCUGGUCAUCAUGAUGUGUGCCGUCAUCAGUGUUCACGUCGUAGAGAAGCUUAAGAAGAAAA